UGGGGAAUAUUGCACAAUGGAGGGAACUCUGAUGCAGCGACGCCGCGUGAACGAAGAAGGCUUUCGAGUCGUAAAGUUCUUUUAUAUGGGAAGAUAAUGACGGUACCAUAAGAAAAAGCCCCGGCUAACUACGUGCCAGCAGCCGCGGUAAUACGUAGGGGGCUAGCGUUGUCCGGAAUCACUGGGCGUAAAGGGUUCGCAGGCGGAAAUGCAAGUCAGGUGUAAAAGGCAGUAGCUUAACUACUGUAAGCAUUUGAAACUGCAUAUCUUGAGAAGAGUAGAGGUAAGUGGAAUUUUUAGUGUAGCGGUGAAAUGCGCAGAUAUUAAAAAGAAUACCGGUGGCGAAGGCGGCUUACUGGGCUCAUUCUGACGCUGAGGAACGAAAGCGUGGGUAGCAAACAGG
This 403-nucleotide ribosomal RNA is filed under the name bacterium. RNAcentral describes it as "partial 16S ribosomal RNA". It matches the Rfam family "Bacterial small subunit ribosomal RNA", at positions 355 to 776 of the family's 1533-position model. The record is from RNAcentral.